Molecule: long non-coding RNA, 2936 nt
Filed under: Sus scrofa (pig)
Lineage: Eukaryota; Metazoa; Chordata; Mammalia; Artiodactyla; Suidae
Description: lncRNA (ENSSSCG00055000776.1)
Source: RNAcentral
UUUUUGUCUUUUGUAUUGUAUCUAUCUGAGGAGAUAGGUGUUAGCUGAACCUAUUGUUGGUAAUCAUUUCACAAUAUAUGUAAAGCAAACCAUCAGGUUGUACCCUUUAAACUUAUACAUUGAUGUAUGUCAAUGAUUUCUCAAUAAAGCUGGGAGGAAAAAACCUCUAAUGCUGUCAGCUCCUUCCUCAAACAAAAAAAUAAACAUACAAAAAAGACUAGCAGAAUUUCUGGAGUCCAUAAAGGCUUUUUUGCCACUGAAAAUUACCUGGCCCGAGACCAUAUACUGGUUCCUUUAUUUUUAAUGUAACUGUAGGUGCUAAUUAGGUGCUUUCAAGCUGCCAGAAUAGCAUCUUUCAAGCUGCUAAUGCCCCAAACUGCUGUCAGCAUCAUCAUUAUUAGCCCUGAAGUGCUCCUCUAUGAGGAACUUCUCACACUUGACAUGUCCCAGCUCUUGGCAAAUUAUUUUGAGUGACUUCUUAAUUCGAAGUACUAUGGCACCCAUUGCUAAUGAAGCAUGCAGGAGCCACAGAGCUGUCGGGAGAUAGUAAAGGUUCUGAUUCCCCUUUGUCCUCUCUGAGGACUCCUGCUCCUAAUUGAAGGACUUGUGUCUACUCUUUAGCCAGUGUUGUGUCUCUUUACACUAAAACGUGAAUUCUUUCUUUUUAAUGGCUGCACCCACAAAUAUGGACGUUCCCAGGCCAGGGAUUGAAUCUAAGUUGCGGCUGCAACCCUCGCAGCAGCUGUGUCAAUACUGGAUCCGUUGAACCACUGUGCCAGGCCAGGGAUUGAACCUGUGCCUCUGCAGUGACCUGAGCUGUGGCAGCUGGAUUCUUAACCCACUGCACCAGGGCAGGAACUCCAAAAUAUGAAUUCUUUAUCUCAAGGUGAUAAGGACGCUUUGCAGUCAUCAGAAAAUUCAACUCUAGGUAUUCUUAUUUUAAUGUUCUUCCCUCCCUACCAGUGACUUCUGAAAGACACAGUGAUUAUUUCUUUCAGGAAAAAUCAUCUAUGUAGUUUGUCUCUAACCCACGCAGUGACUGAUCUUUGCUUUGCAAAGGUAUUGAGCAAGCUGACCUUGGGAAGACAUCAGCUAAGAACUCAAUAACAAAGCAUGGCCAAAUUCGAAAUAAAUCCUUUUUCCCAUGCUAGUUAGGAAAAUAUAUAACUCUGCCUACCUCCAUUAAGAAUUUGCUUUCAUCAGCUAUACCUCAAUUUUAAAAAAUUUUAAAAAGAAUAUUUGUGAAAUAAACAAAUUAAUAAUGAAUUUACCAUCCAAAGUGGUUUUUUUAAAAAAGAAUUUGUUCAAAAUUGUUCAACAUUUUGGUCAAUAAUUUAUUAAAUUUAAAAAUAAUUGUAAAUUCUUAUUUGCUAUUGAAGUUCUUUCUGGCUCUGCUCUGCCCACAGGAUUUUACUUGUGGGAGCAAUACUUUAUAGGCUGUAAAUAAGCCCAAUUAUUUUCUGAGAAUUAUUUUUUCACACAUCUAAAAAGGGAAAAAUGAAGAGAAAAGACAUAUAUAAAAUUAAAAUUGUCCAAGAUCCUUACACUGAAAACUACAAAACACAUAAGACAGAAAAAUUAAAGAUGGUCUAAACAAAUGGAGAGAUUAUACUUCAUAUAUGGAUUGGAAGACUCAGUAUUUGUUAACAUGGCAAUGGUUCCCAAAUUUGUGUAUAGAGUCAACAAAAUUCCCACUUAAAUUCCUGUUCUUUUUUUGUCAAAUUUUAUUACCUUUUUUUUAAAAAAAAAAUUAUAUGGAAUUGCAAAAGAGCUAAAAUAACCAAAGCAAUUUUUAGAAACAGCAAAGUUGGACAUUCAGAGGAAGCAUUAGUACAAUUAGCCUUCGUUUGUAUCAUUUUUCAGAUUCCAAGUAAAAGAGAUAUCAUAUGAUAUUUGUCUUUCUCUGUGUAACUUCACUUAGCAUGAUAAUCUCUAGGUCCCUCCAUGUUGCUGCAAAUGGCAAUAUUUCAUUUUUUAUGGCUGAGUAAUACUCCACUGUGUCUAUGUACCACAUCUUAAACCAACCAUCUGUUGACGUGCAUUUGGGUUGUUUAUAUGUCUUGGCUUCUGUAAAUUGUACUGCUAAGAACAUUGGUGUACAUGUAUCUUUUCAAAUUAGGAUAUUUGUCUGUUUCAGGUAUAUGCGCAGGAGUCGGGUUGCUGGAUCAUACAGUAGAUGGAUCAUCUAUUUUAGUUUUUUUAAGGAACUUCCAUACUGAUUUCCAUAGUCCUAAGCUGGUUUUCAUUUAUGAAAAUAGGGAGACUCCCAAUCUUAAAAAAGGCAUGAGGACCAAACAAGAUCAUGUACAGCAAGAAAUGCUUAGCACCAUAACCAUCUCAUUAGAAACACUCAGUCUUUCACAUCAGGUAGUAAGCACACCCCUCACUUAUUUCACAAAUUUGCCUGAAACUAUAUCUGAUAGCUAUGAGGAAUCCCAAGGCUAGAAUGUAAUAAAUUGUACUUGGCAGAACUGUCAAAUCAAUGAAUACUGGUGGGAAAUCUGGACAUUUUCUAUCGUGCUUUCCUGUAACUGUCAUCCUUUUCUGAAAGUCUUCUGCAACUAAAUCUUCUGCCCUCUCAUCAAAAGCACACUAUGAGAUGCAGGAGGACACGCUAUGAGUAAAAAUGGUCAGGUGUUCUAAUUGGGUAUCAUCUACCUACUCGGCCCUUCUUCUCCGGGUUUCUGAAAACCUAAAAUUAACAUGACAUUUCCUCCCAGUUUUGUAGGUAGAACAGUUUUCCUAGCCUCUUCAAAAAGACAUUCUUUUUAAAAAUUUUUUCAAUUUUAUUUUUAUUAGUGUUGAUUUACAGUGUUGGGUCAAUUUCUAGUGCACAGCAUAGUGAGUGAGUCACACACACACAAACACAUUCUUUUUCUCCGAAAGAAUGGAAAAGACAAUCUUUAGUCCUGUGGUAGCCAAACCACCUCAGAAGG